Microcebus murinus (gray mouse lemur) is the source of this 510-nucleotide non-coding RNA. The record is from RefSeq and is a predicted model, not a curated record. Lineage: Eukaryota; Metazoa; Chordata; Mammalia; Primates; Cheirogaleidae.
CACUGCCAAGGCAACCAGCAGCAUUUCAGACUCCAGAAGCGUCAUCAGUGUGGAGUGAGAAUGCGUGCUGCAGAGUUCCCAGUUGUCCUGCGAUGAACACGUAAUACGGGCAAGAAAUAUACCUUUGUUGUACUCCUCUACUGCGAUCUUGGAGGGAAAAACAUCUCAACCAGUGGACAAAGUGGAGAAGCCUCUUGACCAUGUGAAAGCAGCAGCAUCACCAAUAUGUGACUAACCACAUCCAUUCAAGAAUGGGCUGACCCUCCCCCAAGCUUGAGCUCUUGAUGGUGGGCUGAAUUAUGAAGUUAGAAUGAAGGAAGAGUUGGUUGUCAUCUUCAUAGAGAUGAAAGUAAAACCUUUGAAAGUGGAUGGUAUAAUGAAAUGCAGAAGGAACAGUAAAGAAAGGCGAAGGAAGUACCAGGGACUUACGCCAAGGCGUAGAUGUAGAGAAACUUGGAAAGGAAAGGAAGAAGGUAGCUGUCUACAAGCCAGGAAGAGGCCCCUCACCAG